Molecule: unclassified non-coding RNA, 537 nt
Filed under: uncultured Prochlorococcus sp.
Lineage: Bacteria; Bacillati; Cyanobacteriota; Cyanophyceae; Synechococcales; Prochlorococcaceae
Description: partial may contain 16S ribosomal RNA, 16S-23S ribosomal RNA intergenic spacer, and 23S ribosomal RNA
Rfam family: tRNA (bases 348-420)
Source: RNAcentral
GACGCCGAAGGUGGGGCUAAUGACUGGGGUGAAGUCGUAACAAGGUAGCCGUACCGGAAGGUGCGGCUGGAUCACCUCCUAACAGGGAGACAAAACUGAUUAUGUUGACUGAAUAAAUUGUUCAGACCGUAAUCCUGUCACCUUAGGUCGAUCGGUACCUCAGAUUGAGAGCCUUUGAUUAAAUAAUGAGAAUUCAUUCUUUGGCUAGGUUGUUAAUUUCAGUUCCUAAACUUGUCUAGGUCACACCCAACAAACUUUUCUUCUGGGCUAUUAGCUCAGGCGGUUAGAGCGCACCCCUGAUAAGGGUGAGGUCCCUGGUUCAAGUCCAGGAUGGCCCAUUCGUUGUUGGGGGUAUAGCUCAGUUGGUAGAGCGCCUGCUUUGCAAGCAGGAUGUCAGCGGUUCGAGUCCGCUUACCUCCACUGAACCACUGCCUAAUAACUCAAUUUUUGAAGAUAGUUAUUUGUUGAAAGUGACUUAGAAGUAGUUCAACUGAUUGAACCUAGCUUCAUAUCAUUCCUUGCUUUAACACUAUUAGG